AGAACAUAAUCUUGAUGUCCUUGAGCCGGCUUGCUGGGACGCUCAGUACUGCGGAUCCCACCUACCACAGGCAGAGCAGACCACGUAACAGCCCCAUGCUGUCUGCAUGAUUUACAGAAGACUCUUCCUCAGAAAGUAGUUCACCGCCCACCAGAGGUAGUGGGAAAGAAAGGACGGGAGCAGGGAAUUGGACCUGUUUAGAAAGAUUCUUUGGAGCAACUCCCGUCUGUGCUGUCUGGAAAUCAGCAGUUUGGUUCACAGGUCGGCAGGCGGCGGCUCAAUCAACUGGCAAACACCUCACGGAUGCACCAACAGUCUAGUUUGAUAGUCAGGUUAGCAACAGCAGUGACAGGACCUAGCAGAGACAGCCAGGCCUCAGCCUCUGCUCCAGUCAGCAGCAGGGACAGUAGGAGAAGCUCUCAGCUGUGCCUCUCUCAGGGAAGUGAAGAUCAGGGAAGAGGAGACCCACAAGCAUUGCACAGCCAGCUGUAGCAGCAAGAUAAGCUCAGCCACUCCGUGGAGUCCUAAUUAUCUACUGCAAACAUCACGUGUCCUCCACGUGCCUCACCCCAGCACGUGCAUCCAAUCAGCCCGAGUCCUCGGAAUCGGGAACAACUGCAGCACAGCAUCGGAAGGUUCUAUGGAGUUCUGACAAAUGCAGCUCAGCUACACAUGUAAGGAGGACCAAUACGUGGAUGUCGUUAGCAAAGAAUCCUUCACCACGUGUCCUUUCACCAGCUUGAUUUGCAGAACCUCCUCUCUCCUGUGCCUGCUUCAGUGAAACGUUCCCUCACGAGUCUGCCUUAGCCUUUCACCUGUGUCCACUCUAAUGAAAAGUUCCUUCACGUAUUUGCCCAGCAAAACACCACCCAACCAACUUUCCAAAGAACCCUUAAGUUUCUACCUCAGGCUCCCUCACCAACAGCUCAUGGGGAGGUAUCCCUCACUUGGGAUGAGAAUUUUUUACUGAGAACCAUUGACUUCUGGGAGCAGUGCUGACCACUCAUUCAGAGUACUUUCUAAUACUAAUAUCUCCUUAAAAAAAAUUAAAGUUAGCUUAUAAUGGA
This is a non-coding RNA of Rattus norvegicus (Norway rat), 1067 nucleotides long. The record is from RefSeq and is a predicted model, not a curated record. NCBI's taxonomy places the organism in Eukaryota, Metazoa, Chordata, Mammalia, Rodentia, Muridae.